AACCUCCGCAAUGUACGAAAGUGCGACGGGGGGAUCCCAAGUGUUAUGCUUUUUUGUAUAACUUUUCAUUAGUGUAAAAAGCUUUUAGAAUAAGAGCUGGGCAAGACCGGUGCCAGCCGCCGCGGUAACACCGGCAGCUCUAGUGGUAACAAUUUUUAUUGGGCCUAAAGCGUCCGUAGCCGGUUUAAUAAGUCUCUGGUGAAAUCCUGUAGCUUAACUGUGGGAAUUGCUGGAGAUACUAUUAGACUUGAGACCGGGAGAGGUUAGAGGUACUCCCAGGGUAGAGGUGAAAUUCUGUAAUCCUGGGAGGACCGCCUGUUGCGAAGGCGUCUAACUGGAACGGUUCUGACGGUGAGGGACGAAAGUUAGGGGCGCGAACCGGAUUAGAUACCCGGGUAGUCCUAACUGUAAACGAUGCGGACUUGGUGUUGGGGUGGCUUUGAGCUGCUCCAGUGCCGAAGGGAAGCUGUUAAGUCCGCCGCCUGGGAAGUACGGUCGCAAGACUGAAACUUAAAGGAAUU
RNAcentral lists this ribosomal RNA (521 nucleotides) under uncultured bacterium. RNAcentral's name for it is "bacterial SSU rRNA". It matches the Rfam family "Archaeal small subunit ribosomal RNA", at positions 345 to 866 of the family's 1478-position model. The record is from RNAcentral.